RNAcentral lists this ribosomal RNA (1966 nucleotides) under human gut metagenome. RNAcentral's name for it is "bacterial LSU rRNA". It matches the Rfam family "Bacterial large subunit ribosomal RNA", at positions 1 to 1994 of the family's 2925-position model. The record is from RNAcentral.
UUAAGCGACUAAGCGUACACGGUGGAUGCCCUGGCAGUCAGAGGCGAUGAAGGACGUGCUAAUCUGCGAUAAGCGUCGGUGAGGUGAUAUGAACCGUUAUAACCGGCGAUUUCCGAAUGGGGAAACCCAGUGUGUUUCGACACACUAUCAUUAACUGAAUCCAUAGGUUAAUGAGGCGAACCGGGGGAACUGAAACAUCUAAGUACCCCGAGGAAAAGAAAUCAACCGAGAUUCCCCCAGUAGCGGCGAGCGAACGGGGAGGAGCCCAGAGCCUGAAUCAGUGUGUGUGUUAGUGGAAGCGUCUGGAAAGGCGCGCGAUACAGGGUGACAGCCCCGUACACAAAAAUGCACAUAUUGUGAGCUCGAUGAGUAGGGCGGGACACGUGGUAUCCUGUCUGAAUAUGGGGGGACCAUCCUCCAAGGCUAAAUACUCCUGACUGACCGAUAGUGAACCAGUACCGUGAGGGAAAGGCGAAAAGAACCCCGGCGAGGGGAGUGAAAAAGAACCUGAAACCGUGUACGUACAAGCAGUGGGAGCCUCUUUAUGGGGUGACUGCGUACCUUUUGUAUAAUGGGUCAGCGACUUAUAUUCUGUAGCAAGGUUAACCGAAUAGGGGAGCCGAAGGGAAACCGAGUCUUAACUGGGCGUUAAGUUGCAGGGUAUAGACCCGAAACCCGGUGAUCUAGCCAUGGGCAGGUUGAAGGUUGGGUAACACUAACUGGAGGACCGAACCGACUAAUGUUGAAAAAUUAGCGGAUGACUUGUGGCUGGGGGUGAAAGGCCAAUCAAACCGGGAGAUAGCUGGUUCUCCCCGAAAGCUAUUUAGGUAGCGCCUCGUGAAUUCAUCUCCGGGGGUAGAGCACUGUUUCGGCAAGGGGGUCAUCCCGACUUACCAACCCGAUGCAAACUGCGAAUACCGGAGAAUGUUAUCACGGGAGACACACGGCGGGUGCUAACGUCCGUCGUGAAGAGGGAAACAACCCAGACCGCCAGCUAAGGUCCCAAAGUCAUGGUUAAGUGGGAAACGAUGUGGGAAGGCCCAGACAGCCAGGAUGUUGGCUUAGAAGCAGCCAUCAUUUAAAGAAAGCGUAAUAGCUCACUGGUCGAGUCGGCCUGCGCGGAAGAUGUAACGGGGCUAAACCAUGCACCGAAGCUGCGGCAGCGACACUAUGUGUUGUUGGGUAGGGGAGCGUUCUGUAAGCCUGUGAAGGUGGCCUGUGAGGGUUGCUGGAGGUAUCAGAAGUGCGAAUGCUGACAUAAGUAACGAUAAAGCGGGUGAAAAGCCCGCUCGCCGGAAGACCAAGGGUUCCUGUCCAACGUUAAUCGGGGCAGGGUGAGUCGACCCCUAAGGCGAGGCCGAAAGGCGUAGUCGAUGGGAAACAGGUUAAUAUUCCUGUACUUGGUGUUACUGCGAAGGGGGGACGGAGAAGGCUAUGUUGGCCGGGCGACGGUUGUCCCGGUUUAAGCGUGUAGGCUGGUUUUCCAGGCAAAUCCGGAAAACCAAGGCUGAGGCGUGAUGACGAGGCACUACGGUGCUGAAGCGACAAAUGCCCUGCUUCCAGGAAAAGCCUCUAAGCAUCAGGUAACAUCAAAUCGUACCCCAAACCGACACAGGUGGUCAGGUAGAGAAUACCAAGGCGCUUGAGAGAACUCGGGUGAAGGAACUAGGCAAAAUGGUGCCGUAACUUCGGGAGAAGGCACGCUGAUAUGUAGGUGAAGCGACUUGCUCGUGGAGCUGAAAUCAGUCGAAGAUACCAGCUGGCUGCAACUGUUUAUUAAAAACACAGCACUGUGCAAACACGAAAGUGGACGUAUACGGUGUGACGCCUGCCCGGUGCCGGAAGGUUAAUUGAUGGGGUUAGCGGUAACGCGAAGCUCUUGAUCGAAGCCCCGGUAAACGGCGGCCGUAACUAUAACGGUCCUAAGGUAGCGAAAUUCCUUGUCGGGUAAGUUCCGACCUGCACG